AGGAUCGGGAACCUCGGUUCUCGCAUCACUUCUUAGAGGGACUUUGCGUGUCUAACGCAAGGAAGUUUGAGGCAAUAACAGGUCUGUGAUGCCCUUAGAUGUUCUGGGCUGCACGCGCGCUACACUGAUGCAUGCAACGAGUUUUUGACCUUGGCCGGAAGGUCUAGGUAAUCUUUUGAGUAUGCAUCGUGAUGGGGAUAGAUUAUUGCAAUUAUUAAUCUUCAACGAGGAAUGCCUAGUAGGCGCAAGUCGGCAGCUUGUGCCGAUUACGUCCCUGCCCUUUGUACACACCGCCCGUCGCUGCAACCGAUCGAAGGGUCCUGUGAACUCGAUGGACAGCCCAUCCCCUUCUUGGGGUUGGGCUGGAAGUUGCGUAAAUAGAGCCCUUUAAAGGAUGCAAAAGUCGUAACACGGUUUCCGUAGGUGAACCUGCGGAAGGAUCAUUC
RNAcentral lists this ribosomal RNA (446 nucleotides) under Eimeria alabamensis. RNAcentral's name for it is "SSU rRNA". It matches the Rfam family "Eukaryotic small subunit ribosomal RNA", at positions 1379 to 1831 of the family's 1831-position model. The record is from RNAcentral. Lineage: Eukaryota; Apicomplexa; Conoidasida; Eucoccidiorida; Eimeriidae.